CCUACGGGGAGCAGCAGUGAGGAAUAUUGGUCAAUGGUCGGGAGACUGAACCAGCCAAGCCGCGUGAGGGAGGAAGGUACAGAGUAUCGUAAACCUCUUUUGUCAGGGAACAAAGGCGGGGACGUGUCCCCGGAUGAGUGUACCUGAAGAAAAAGCAUCGGCUAACUCCGUGCCAGCAGCCGCGGUAAUACGGAGGAUGCGAGCGUUAUCCGGAUUUAUUGGGUUUAAAGGGUGCGCAGGCGGUCUGUUAAGUCAGCGGUAAAAGCCCGGGGACCAACCCCGGCCCGCCGUUGAAACUGGCAGUCUCGAGUUGGAGAGAAGUAUGCGGAAUGCGCGGUGUAGCGGUGAAAUGCAUAGAUAUCGCGCAGAACUCCGAUUGCGAAGGCAGCAUGCCGGCUCCACACUGACGCUGAGGCACGAAAGCGUGGGUAUCGAACAGGAUUAGAUACCCUUGUAGUC
This 459-nucleotide ribosomal RNA is filed under the name uncultured bacterium. Its description in RNAcentral is "partial 16S ribosomal RNA". It matches the Rfam family "Bacterial small subunit ribosomal RNA", at positions 338 to 795 of the family's 1533-position model. The record is from RNAcentral.